This 200-nucleotide ribosomal RNA is filed under the name uncultured bacterium. RNAcentral's name for it is "partial 16S ribosomal RNA". It matches the Rfam family "Bacterial small subunit ribosomal RNA", at positions 8 to 210 of the family's 1533-position model. The record is from RNAcentral.
AGAGUUUGAUCCUGGCUCAGGACGAACGCUGGCGGCGUGCUUAAUACAUGCAAGUCGAGCGGAAAGGCCCUUCGGGGUACUCGAGCGGCGAACGGGUGAGUAACACGUGAGCAACCUGCCCUUAGCUCUGGGAUAGCUCCGGGAAACCGGAAUUAAUACCGGAUAAGACCACUCCAGACAUCUUCUGUGGUGUAAAGAAU